UGGGGAAUAUUGCACAAUGGGGGAAACCCUGAUGCAGCGACGCCGCGUGAACGAAGAAGGUAUUCGUAUCGUAAAGUUCUGUCCUAUGGGAAGAUAAUGACAGUACCAUAGAAGAAAGCUCCGGCUAAAUACGUGCAAGCAGCCGCGGUAAUACGUAUGGCGCGAGCGUUGUCCGGAAUUAUUGGGCGUAAAGGGUACGCAGGCGGUUUAAUAAGUCGAAUGUUAAAGAUCGGGGCUCAACCCCGCAAAGCAUUGGAAACUGAUAAACUUGAGUAGUGGAGAGGAAAGUGGAAUUCCUAGUGUAGUGGUGAAAUACGUAGAUAUUAGGAGGAAUACCAGUAGCGAAGGCGACUUUCUGGACACAAACUGACGCUGAGGUACGAAAGCGUGGGGAGCAAACAGG
RNAcentral lists this ribosomal RNA (403 nucleotides) under bacterium. RNAcentral's name for it is "partial 16S ribosomal RNA". It matches the Rfam family "Bacterial small subunit ribosomal RNA", at positions 355 to 776 of the family's 1533-position model. The record is from RNAcentral.